UACAGAGGGGGCAAGCGUUGUUCGGAAUUACUGGGCGUAAAGGGCGCGUAGGCGGCCAACUAAGUCGGAUGUGAAAUCCCCAGGCUUAACCUGGGAACUGCAUCCGAUACUGGAUGGCUUGAAUCCGGGAGAGGGAUGCAGAAUUCCAGGUGUAGCGGUGAAAUGCGUAGAUAUCUGGAGGAAUACCGGUGGCGAAGGCGGCAUCCUGGACCGGCAUUGACGCUGAUGAGCGAAAGCUAGGGGAGCAAACGGG
RNAcentral lists this ribosomal RNA (253 nucleotides) under uncultured bacterium. RNAcentral describes it as "partial 16S ribosomal RNA". It matches the Rfam family "Bacterial small subunit ribosomal RNA", at positions 524 to 776 of the family's 1533-position model. The record is from RNAcentral.